RNAcentral lists this ribosomal RNA (253 nucleotides) under uncultured bacterium. Its description in RNAcentral is "partial 16S ribosomal RNA". It matches the Rfam family "Bacterial small subunit ribosomal RNA", at positions 524 to 776 of the family's 1533-position model. The record is from RNAcentral.
UACGGGGGGGGCAAGCGUUGUUCGGAAUUACUGGGCGUAAAGGGCUCGUAGGCGGCCAACUAAGUCAGACGUGAAAUCCCUCGGCUUAACCGGGGAACUGCGUCUGAUACUGGAUGGCUUGAGUUUGGGAGAGGGAUGCGGAAUUCCAGGUGUAGCGGUGAAAUGCGUAGAUAUCUGGAGGAACACCGGUGGCGAAGGCGGCUCUCUGGUACAUGAUUGACGCUGAGGAGCGAAAGCAUGGGGAGCGAACAGG